Molecule: transfer RNA, 74 nt
Filed under: Acidimicrobiia bacterium
Lineage: Bacteria; Bacillati; Actinomycetota; Acidimicrobiia
Also listed under: 1 other name
Description: tRNA-Pro
Rfam family: tRNA
About the family: Transfer RNA (tRNA) molecules are approximately 80 nucleotides in length. Their secondary structure includes four short double-helical elements and three loops (D, anti-codon, and T loops).
Source: RNAcentral
CUCGGUGUGGUGAAAUGGUAUCAUUCGUGCUUUGGGAGCAUGAGGCGCAAGUUCGAUUCUUGCCACCGAGACCA